Molecule: ribosomal RNA, 1449 nt
Filed under: Lactiplantibacillus plantarum
Lineage: Bacteria; Bacillati; Bacillota; Bacilli; Lactobacillales; Lactobacillaceae
Description: bacterial SSU rRNA
Rfam family: Bacterial small subunit ribosomal RNA
Source: RNAcentral
UGCAAGUCGAACGAACUCUGGUAUUGAUUGGUGCUUGCAUCAUGAUUUACAUUUGAGUGAGUGGCGAACUGGUGAGUAACACGUGGGAAACCUGCCCAGAAGCGGGGGAUAACACCUGGAAACAGAUGCUAAUACCGCAUAACAACUUGGACCGCAUGGUCCGAGCUUGAAAGAUGGCUUCGGCUAUCACUUUUGGAUGGUCCCGCGGCGUAUUAGCUAGAUGGUGGGGUAACGGCUCACCAUGGCAAUGAUACGUAGCCGACCUGAGAGGGUAAUCGGCCACAUUGGGACUGAGACACGGCCCAAACUCCUACGGGAGGCAGCAGUAGGGAAUCUUCCACAAUGGACGAAAGUCUGAUGGAGCAACGCCGCGUGAGUGAAGAAGGGUUUCGGCUCGUAAAACUCUGUUGUUAAAGAAGAACAUAUCUGAGAGUAACUGUUCAGGUAUUGACGGUAUUUAACCAGAAAGCCACGGCUAACUACGUGCCAGCAGCCGCGGUAAUACGUAGGUGGCAAGCGUUGUCCGGAUUUAUUGGGCGUAAAGCGAGCGCAGGCGGUUUUUUAAGUCUGAUGUGAAAGCCUUCGGCUCAACCGAAGAAGUGCAUCGGAAACUGGGAAACUUGAGUGCAGAAGAGGACAGUGGAACUCCAUGUGUAGCGGUGAAAUGCGUAGAUAUAUGGAAGAACACCAGUGGCGAAGGCGGCUGUCUGGUCUGUAACUGACGCUGAGGCUCGAAAGUAUGGGUAGCAAACAGGAUUAGAUACCCUGGUAGUCCAUACCGUAAACGAUGAAUGCUAAGUGUUGGAGGGUUUCCGCCCUUCAGUGCUGCAGCUAACGCAUUAAGCAUUCCGCCUGGGGAGUACGGCCGCAAGGCUGAAACUCAAAGGAAUUGACGGGGGCCCGCACAAGCGGUGGAGCAUGUGGUUUAAUUCGAAGCUACGCGAAGAACCUUACCAGGUCUUGACAUACUAUGCAAAUCUAAGAGAUUAGACGUUCCCUUCGGGGACAUGGAUACAGGUGGUGCAUGGUUGUCGUCAGCUCGUGUCGUGAGAUGUUGGGUUAAGUCCCGCAACGAGCGCAACCCUUAUUAUCAGUUGCCAGCAUUAAGUUGGGCACUCUGGUGAGACUGCCGGUGACAAACCGGAGGAAGGUGGGGAUGACGUCAAAUCAUCAUGCCCCUUAUGACCUGGGCUACACACGUGCUACAAUGGAUGGUACAACGAGUUGCGAACUCGCGAGAGUAAGCUAAUCUCUUAAAGCCAUUCUCAGUUCGGAUUGUAGGCUGCAACUCGCCUACAUGAAGUCGGAAUCGCUAGUAAUCGCGGAUCAGCAUGCCGCGGUGAAUACGUUCCCGGGCCUUGUACACACCGCCCGUCACACCAUGAGAGUUUGUAACACCCAAAGUCGGUGGGGUAACCUUUUAGGAACCAGCCGCCUAAGGUGACAGAU